UACAGAGGGUGCGAGCGUUAAUCGGAAUUACUGGGCGUAAAGCGUGCGUAGGCGGUUUCGUAAGUCGGGUGUGAAAUCCCCGGGCUCAACCUGGGAAUUGCAUUCGAAACUGCGAGGCUAGGGUACGGAAGAGGGAAGCGGAAUUUCUGGUGUAGCGGUGAAAUGCGUAGAUAUCAGAAGGAACAUCAGUGGCGAAAGCGGCUUCCUGGUCCAGUACCGACGUUCAGGCACGAAAGCGUGGGGAGCAAACAGG
This 253-nucleotide ribosomal RNA is filed under the name uncultured bacterium. RNAcentral's name for it is "partial 16S ribosomal RNA". It matches the Rfam family "Bacterial small subunit ribosomal RNA", at positions 524 to 776 of the family's 1533-position model. The record is from RNAcentral.